Molecule: long non-coding RNA, 746 nt
Organism: Humulus lupulus (European hop)
Lineage: Eukaryota; Viridiplantae; Streptophyta; Magnoliopsida; Rosales; Cannabaceae
Exons: 4
Source: RefSeq, a predicted model, not a curated record
GGGGAGAUUGUGGCCAAGUAAAAUAAAAGGAACAAAUAUAUGGUUAGACUGAAUUCAUGGUCAUUGUUGGUAAAUAUCCAGAAGUAUUUCCAGGAGAAUGUUGAAAUGGAAGAUGAAUUUCCUUACGAUAAUUCUUGAUGGAAGUGUGUUAUUUUGAGGUGAUCCUAUCUACUAAAAAGUUUUUCCCAAUUGGCUGAAAUACAAGAAAUACUAGAGGAUGGAGGUGUUAUAUGGGAGUUUGAUAAAUAGAUCUCAAGAGGAAAAUGCGCUCGUGAUGGCAUUUAAAUCUUAUAGGGUGUCCCUCUUUAAACUAGAUAGAAGGAUUUCUCUCAUUCCUUUAAGAAGUUUUUUCAAGAGGCAUGGGCUAUAAACAUAACUGAGACUGUUUUCUAAUGCAAGAGGCAGGUGGAGCUAUUCUUGGGUCCAUUGUUGGAGUGUCUAAUGUUGAAAACGUGAAUGAUGCGCACAAGAGGUAGCCACGAGAAGCGUUUCAGGGUUGCAAAUAGCUCUAUCAUUGGGAAAGGUAUAACAAAAAAAUUUUCAUAAUGCUGCCAUAGUUGAUUAUUCCAAUGUUUAAAGUGGACAAGAAGUGUUCAUUCAAAGAAAGAGAUUGAGAGAAAGGUUGCUAGUCAUUGAUUAAUUUAUUCAAUUGAGUUAUAUAUGCUCUUUUUUAUUGUACUAAUAAGUAGGAAUUUAUUCUAUUUUAUAUUGAAUCAUGUUGUCGUUCAUGUUGAUAAAUUUAAAUU